RNAcentral lists this long non-coding RNA (1122 nucleotides) under Saimiri boliviensis boliviensis (Bolivian squirrel monkey). Its description in RNAcentral is "lncRNA (ENSSBOG00000036684.1)". The record is from RNAcentral. Lineage: Eukaryota; Metazoa; Chordata; Mammalia; Primates; Cebidae.
CCCUUUACCACCCCCUGGUGGAUCACUCAAGAGUCAAUCCCAGGUUUUUCUCUUAGCUUGAUUUCUCACUUUGCCGGGAUACAUCCUCAAGUAACUAUCCGAGAACAGAUGCAUGGGGAGGAUGGGUUUCUGUAUUCUGAGUCCUUGGAGAUCUAACAGUAUCUUUUUUCUGCCCCGUGCUUGAUUCAUCAUUUGGCCUAGUGUAGAAAACAAGGUUCGAAAUGAUUUCCCAAUCAUCUUCUUACAACCACUGCUACUGAUGGGGAUCGGAUGCACUGCAGUUCUCGGCCUUUGCAGUGAACAUUUUAUUUUUACCAUCUUUGAAAUCUGUCAGCCGAUCUUACGCCCUGUCACUCUGCAUUUUCUUUCAGUAUCCCCUACACGCCGUGUCUCGAGACUCAACCCCGCUGAGCUCUGGGGUCGUAGCUGCAGCUGCUUCGGCACUCCAAGACCAGAGAGGAAGCAAAGGCAGAGCUGCUCAGCCAGGCGUAUCUGCUUUGGCCUUGCAGGAAUCGUCGCCCACUGAGCUUCUGUCCAAACCUCAGUGGAUCAUAAUCUAAGUUUGGCAAACACUGAGCCGGGAGGAGUCAUGUCUGCGGGGCCCCAAGAGUCCCUGAAUUUGGGUCCUGAUCACCCUGCUCCACCCAGUCGAGUUGGCACAUGCACUCAGCCCAUAAGGAAAAAGGGAAGGAAGGAAGGGAGGGAGGGAAGGAGGAAAGGAAAGAAGGAAGGAAAGGAGGGAGAGAGGGAAGAAAGGAAGGGAGGGAGGGAGGGGGGAAGCGAGCGCCUCCACCAUCGUAGGCAGGACCAGUGAGAGCUGAACGGGGCUGCGCAGCUAGGUACCACUCUGGGACUCUGGGGUUUCUUAGGGGAUGACUUGUUUCUGGGGUCCAGGUAAGAGGAAUUCAGGGUCACACAUCCAAGGAUGUGAGUCCAUGGGGCAGCUGGGCCCCUCUGAGCCCCUCUGUGUCCUGGUCUCCUCUAAAUGCAGAUGAUGAUGAGAAUCCACGCCCAGCCCACGGCUUGGCCAGUCUCCGGAAGAGUGUGUUUCCUACAGCGCUCAGUGCAGCAGGAGGUACGCAGGGUGGAAGUGCUUUGCGUUCAUGUGGGACUUUUGGCCCU